UGGCUCUCGCAUCGAUGAAGAACGCAGCGAAAUGCGAUAAGUAAUGUGAAUUGCAGAAUUCAGUGAAUCAUCGAAUCUUUGAACGCACCUUGCACCCCUUGGUAUUCCGAGGGGUAUGCCUGUUCGAGUAUCAUCAAAUUCUCAAACCGAAUACUCGUUGUUCGGUCUUGGUUCUUGGAGUGUGCAGUUGAAUCCACACCUGCUCCUCUUCAAAUGCAUGAGUGGAACUUGACAGUUUCAGUAAAACCGGCGUGAUAAUUAUCUACGUCGCAAGCUAAACUUGAUCAUCCGCUUACAACCGUCUUCGGACAAUUAUCUCCAUUUGAUCUCGAAUCAGGUAGGACUACCCGCUGA
RNAcentral lists this unclassified non-coding RNA (354 nucleotides) under uncultured fungus. RNAcentral describes it as "partial contains 5.8S ribosomal RNA and internal transcribed spacer 2". The stretch from base 1 to 133 matches the Rfam family "5.8S ribosomal RNA", at positions 22 to 154 of the family's 154-position model. Lineage: Eukaryota; Fungi. The record is from RNAcentral.